AGCAGUUUUACUGAAUUUACUAAAACGAUACACUUACAAUCUACUUAAUACAUUUAUGUUUAAGAUGGAAACAUAAUUGUAUUGUUUAAAUUCUAAAUGAAAUUCAACAUAAUCAUCAAAACAUGAUAUAAUCACUUUGCAAGAAAAUGUUCAAAUUGUUUCAGAUUUCAAACUAAUGGUGUUCAUGUAAAAUGAUUUUUUCUGCUGUUUGAUUUAUUUAAUUAAAAUAGGCCCAUGUCACACAAUUACUUUGUAUUUUCUUCUCAACUUAAUUCCAUUGUGUAGGCUAUAAUUAAUCUAAUUCAGGUUUGUGAAAUACGUCGUUUGCGCGGGAGCAACGCGCGCGAGAGCGUCUCCGCAUGCGCUUUGAAAUCCAGACCACACCAGGACCGUUGGUUUGGAAAGGACACAUGAGGGCACUGACUGUCUUUUUUCAAAGCUCGUUAAAAGUGAAAUUUGCUGUACAUUUGGAAUUCCAAAGCCUGUUCAGACAAAUUACGAGCUAAGUCAGUCCCCAACAAAGGCAGUUAGCCUUGUAGAAGUCGGUGAAUUAACUGAUGAAUACCCCUUGGCUGACUAUUUGAUUGGACAUGUGCAGAUGGUUACGUUAAAGAGAUUUGUCUGCUGCAAAGGAUGACAUUGAUGCAGCUUGUGAACUUGCCAUCAGAGGACUGUCUAUCUAUCUUAAUGAGGACUCUAAAGAUCUCAUUCAGGAGUAUGCGGACAUGGAAGAAGAUCUUUUACAGUGUGCAAUUGAGAAGACUACCAUGGGCAUCUUCCUGAUAAAGCACACUGCAGACAAUGAAGCCCAUGAUGUGAACUCUCUAUCAAGGCCCAAUUUCAAAUCUGAACUCCACCAGUGAGAUGGACUGAUUUUUGAAUGACUACUGAGACUACAAACAAUCAACCUCGGAAAAUUUCAGCAGCCUUCAUGCAAGACCACCGCAGAGGGUAAACCGUGAUCUUGUUGUUUAGACUGUUCCCCUUUGCCUGCUCUGGUUUCUUUAUCUUUUUUUUUUGUCUGAAUUUGGCCCUUCUUUGGACUGGUUCAGAAGUUGAUUGAUUAGAGAGCUGAAUCUAUGAAACAUGGUUGAACUAGCAUAAAUAAGAUACAUUGUUUAUAGUUUAGGUAAGGGUCAGAUACUGUAUUUUCACAUUGUUUUGUAAUGUCUAUAUAUAAUUAUCUUUGAAACGAAAGCGUUUUUCUUGAAAUAACAGUUCCAGGUAGGGCUGCACGAUAUUGGGAAAAAAUGACAUUGCGAUAUUUUAUUUUUCUGCGAUAUAUAUUGCGAUAUGAAAUCUAAUCUAUUUUUUUCUUACAAACAAAAAUUGGGUGA
Carassius auratus (goldfish) is the source of this 1337-nucleotide long non-coding RNA. RefSeq lists it as uncharacterized. The transcript has 5 exons. The record is from RefSeq and is a predicted model, not a curated record. Lineage: Eukaryota; Metazoa; Chordata; Actinopteri; Cypriniformes; Cyprinidae.